Molecule: small nucleolar RNA, 138 nt
Organism: Callithrix jacchus (white-tufted-ear marmoset)
Lineage: Eukaryota; Metazoa; Chordata; Mammalia; Primates; Cebidae
Source: Ensembl
GACCUCCUGGGAUCAUGUCUGGAGAGUGCUUAGUAUUCUGCCAGCUUCACAAAGUGAGGGAAAGCAAGCCUGGCAAGGCACUCUUUCCAUUCCCAGCUUGCUCAGUAACGGGUGAUUGGAAGACACUCUGUGACAGUG